UUUCCGUAGGUGAACCUGCGGAAGGAUCAUUACUGAGUUUUGGAUGAAGUUGUUCUGGUCUUUCGGGGCAAGUGAACGCUUCUCUCAAUCCAUCUUACACCUGUGCACCUAUCGGGGAAGACUUGGAUCUAAGUUGGGUCACGACGGCGAUCUACAGUCUCCUCUUUGUACCAAAUAACAGUUUUAGAAAGUCUUUUUUGCUUGAUGCAAACUUAAAUAAAUACAACUUUCAGCAACGGAUCUCUUGGCUCUCACAUCGAUGAAGAACGCAGC
Molecule: unclassified non-coding RNA, 273 nt
Filed under: plant metagenome
Description: partial contains small subunit ribosomal RNA, internal transcribed spacer 1, and 5.8S ribosomal RNA
Rfam family: 5.8S ribosomal RNA (bases 225-273)
Source: RNAcentral